Molecule: ribosomal RNA, 427 nt
Filed under: uncultured bacterium
Lineage: Bacteria
Description: partial 16S ribosomal RNA
Rfam family: Bacterial small subunit ribosomal RNA
Source: RNAcentral
UGGGGAAUAUUGCACAAUGGACGCAAGCCUGAUGCAGCCAUGCCGCGUGUAUGAAGAAGGCCUUCGGGUUGUAAAGUACUUUCAGCGGGGAGGAAGGCGAUAAGGUUAAUAACCUUGUCGAUUGACGUUACCCGCAGAAGAAGCACCGGCUAACUCCGUGCCAGCAGCCGCGGUAAUACGGAGGGGGCAAGCGUUAAUCGGAAUUACUGGGCGUAAAGCGCACGCAGGCGGUCUGUCAAGUCGGAUGUGAAAUCCCCGGGCUCAACCUGGGAACUGCAUUCGAAACUGGCAGGCUAGAGUCUUGUAGAGGGGGGUAGAAUUCCAGGUGUAGCGGUGAAAUGCGUAGAGAUCUGGAGGAAUACCGGUGGCGAAGGCGGCCCCCUGGACAAAGACUGACGCUCAGGUGCGAAAGCGUGGGGAGCAAACA